GUGACAGAAAAAAGAAUAAGCAUUUAAAAUCACGCUAUGAACCUUUUUGUUUCACGGUUUACAAGGAAAUGACUCGGUAAUGAAAAUAAUCCCACUGUUUAUGUUCAGCAACCAUUUGCUUAGCACCAGUAGUUUUGUAAAGUUAUUCAAGAUAACUGCAAAUGGUAGUUCCUAAAUCAGAAGAAUUCUGUCAAACAUCUUUCCUGCGUGAACUUUUAAAGAUAUUGCUAUACCAAAGGGCACCCAAUGGAGAAAGUGGGCUUCAUUAACGAUUCAAACUCUUUGAUUCUAACAGCCUGGUUGCAAACUGUUAGCCAUUUCUCUGCAAUGAAUGUAUUUAUUAUCCAGUCUUCGACACCCACAAAUGCCAAGGAAGGGAUGUCGGCCUUUGUAAUCUGACACCGAUCUACCAUUGGGACGGCCAACGGCUCCCCUACACUGGCAGCUGUCUCGGAAAAUUUCAACGAGAAAAAAGGAAAGAAUUUCUUCACAAGUUAUUCCAUCAUCUAUAUGCAUUGUCCAUUUUUAUAGAUCAUUUUAACUUUCACAGUGUUUCUGUGGCCAUCUGGACAGGGAAAAAUUUACAAGAAUAUUAUUUUAACCGAAACAACUGUCGAAUUGUUCAUCCCCGUUCCGACUGAAUUAAGACUCGCUGGGGUUCGAAAUCAUACAGGCAGGAGAAAACAAAAUGCCUCUUUUUUAUUAGCAGGUUGAUUGUAAAAGAAAUCGGUGACGUCAUUUCGGGAAUUGUGAGGACUCCACGUGCCGAACUUUCGAAGAGGAUAAGAAAAAAGGCGUAAAAUAUAACCCACACCCCAACAAAGAAUGGAACAUACAAAAAUAUAUAAAUAAAAGAAAAACAAAAAAAAAA
Molecule: long non-coding RNA, 871 nt
Organism: Daphnia carinata
Lineage: Eukaryota; Metazoa; Arthropoda; Branchiopoda; Diplostraca; Daphniidae
Exons: 5
Source: RefSeq, a predicted model, not a curated record